GACGAACGCUGGCGGCGUGCCUAAUACAUGCAAGUAGAACGCUGAAGGAGGAGCUUGCUCUUCUGGAUGAGUUGCGAACGGGUGAGUAACGCGUAGGUAACCUGCCUGGUAGCGGGGGAUAACUAUUGGAAACGAUAGCUAAUACCGCAUAACAGUAGAUGUUGCAUGACAUUUACUUAAAAGGUGCAAUUGCAUCACUACCAGAUGGACCUGCGUUGUAUUAGCUAGUUGGUGGGGUAACGGCUCACCAAGGCGACGAUACAUAGCCGGCCUGAGAGGGUGAUCGGCCACACUGGGACUGAGACACGGCCCAGACUCCUACGGGAGGCAGCAGUAGGGAAUCUUCGGCAAUGGACGGAAGUCUGACCGAGCAACGCCGCGUGAGUGAAGAAGGUUUUCGGAUCGUAAAGCUCUGUUGUAAGAGAAGAACGAGUGUGAGAGUGGAAAGUUCACACUGUGACGGUAUCUUACCAGAAAGGGACGGCUAACUACGUG
This 495-nucleotide ribosomal RNA is filed under the name uncultured bacterium. Its description in RNAcentral is "partial 16S ribosomal RNA". It matches the Rfam family "Bacterial small subunit ribosomal RNA", at positions 28 to 507 of the family's 1533-position model. The record is from RNAcentral.